RNAcentral lists this ribosomal RNA (541 nucleotides) under Armatimonadota bacterium. RNAcentral describes it as "bacterial SSU rRNA". It matches the Rfam family "Bacterial small subunit ribosomal RNA", at positions 1 to 440 of the family's 1533-position model. Lineage: Bacteria; Bacillati; Armatimonadota. The record is from RNAcentral.
UUCUGGGAGGAUCUGAUCCCAGUCCAGGGCGAACGCUGGCGGCGUGCCUAACACAUGCAAGUCGUACGGAGGAGCGGGAAGACAAAAACGAAGGGUGGUUGUGUUUUGCAACCUUGACUCCCACACUCCCGCUCCUCAGUGGCGAACGGUUGCGUAACGCGUGGGCAACCUGCCCUGGAGACCGGGAUAGCCCGUCGAAAGGCGGGGUAAUCCCGGAUGUGGCCGGUCUGACGCAUGUCAGACCGGUUAAAGGGAGAUUAAACUCUCCGCUCCAGGAUGGGCCCGCGUCCUAUCAGGUAGUCGGUGGGGUAAAGGCCCACCGAGCCGAUGACGGGUAGCUGGUCUGGGAGGACGGCCAGCCAGACGGGGACUGAGACACGGCCCCGACCCCGAAUCCCGGAGGGUAAGAUAUCCGAUAAUUUGGCCCAAACUCUCCGGGAGUAGGGGGCAGCAGUGGGGAAUCUUGCGCAAUGGGGGAAACCCUGACGCAGCGACGCCGCGUGAGGGAGGAAGGCCGCUUAAUAUUUGAAAUUCAAUUUCU